AGCGGUGAGGCCGCUCGGGGUCGGCGUCGCCUUGAAUUUUGGGGUCGCCUCCAGUUUUGGGGUCACCACGGGGUUUGGGGUCACCACGGGGUUUGGUGUCACCACAGGGUUUGGCGUCGCCUUGAAUUUUGGCAUCACCUUGAAUUUUGGGGUCACCACAGGGUUUGGUGUCACCUCGAAUUUUGGUGUCACCUCCAAUUUUGGUGUUGCCGUGAGUUUGAGCGUUGCCAGGAGGCCGGGUGCCACCACGAAGGGCGGCGUCACCGUGACGUCCACCAUGGCGUCCAACGUCGCCAUCACCAAGAGGUUCACCAUGAGGUUCACCAUGACCAUGAGGUUCUCCAUUACCAUGAGGUUCACCAUGAGGUUCCCCAUGACCAUGAUGUUCACCAUGACCAUGACCAUGACAUUCACCAUGAGGUUCCCCAUGACCAUGAGGUUCACCAUGAGGUUCACCAUGACCACGAGGUCCACCAUGACCAUGACCAUGACGUUCACCAUGACCAUCACCAUGAGGUUCACCACAAGGUUCACCAUGACCAUGAGGUUCCCCAUGACCAUGAGGUCCACCAUGACGUUCACCAUCACCAUGAGGUUCAUCAUGACCAUGACCAUGACGUUCACCAUCACCACAAGGUUCACCAUGCCCAUGCCGUUGACCACCACCACCACGUUCCCCACCACCACGAGGCCCCCCACCAGGUUCCCCCCCA
RNAcentral lists this long non-coding RNA (713 nucleotides) under Anas platyrhynchos platyrhynchos (common mallard). RNAcentral describes it as "lncRNA (ENSAPLG00000022729.1)". The record is from RNAcentral. Lineage: Eukaryota; Metazoa; Chordata; Aves; Anseriformes; Anatidae.